Magnolia sinica is the source of this 1417-nucleotide long non-coding RNA. RefSeq lists it as uncharacterized. The transcript has 4 exons. The record is from RefSeq and is a predicted model, not a curated record. NCBI's taxonomy places the organism in Eukaryota, Viridiplantae, Streptophyta, Magnoliopsida, Magnoliales, Magnoliaceae.
ACCUGCUUGGCAGAAAAGACGCAAAAGGAGGAAGUUAUUGAGUGGGAUGGCGUAAUCAGGAAAAGCGGUUCCACUGUCAGUGCGUUUGCCACAUGUUAAGAUGAGCGGGCCAACUACAUUCGCAACACACGUGACAUGGUUUCUCACGCGAAAACAGGCCGUCCGAUUGCUUGGCCCCAACGUGGAUGAAACCCUGCCGAAACCAUUCGGAUGGAUUGAGCAUAUUAUCUUGACCGUCCAUCAUAGUGGGCAACACCUAUUUGAUGGGCCGACUUGCAUAAUUUCACGCCAACACCCGCCGACUGAUUCCAUGGGUCCAUGGAGGAUUUGGUACAGAGCUGAAAAUCAUGAUUUAUCUUAAUGAUCCUAAUUACCAACAUCUAGCUUGCGGGAUCUGACGGUCAAUAUUUUCUGGAGAGUCCACCAAUUUGAUGGGUGAAGCGGAUGGACAUUGAUUGGCGUAACUGCAUAAGCUGCACUUAACGCACAUUGUAGCCUUAGGCAAAUAUAAAAAGAUCAAGAGGAAAAAGUAGCGUUCUACCAUUCUCCUCUUGGAGAAGAAGAGAAGAACUGGGGGAAAAACAUCAUCAUCACAAGCAUUUUUAUAUCAUAGAAGUGCAUGUGGUUUGAAGAACUAGAAGACUUGUAGCAUUUAACUUCCAUGCCCCUUUCUUGAAGGAAAGGGGAGCAUGUUUGAAGAUCUGGAUUCAAUCUAGACUUAUGUGGGUCACGGCAAUAGCAAACGGACCCAAGCUACAUCAAGUCAAAGCAACUAAUGGUGAGGCAACAAGGUGCAAUUUAAGGAAAAUCGGCAAGAAUUCGGAGAAUAGCCAAAUAGCCAGGUAAAGGGACGGCUUUGAUGUACGGAUGUACAAAUCUUGUUACAUUCAAGGAACUGAAGAUGGCUUUUUUGAAAAAAAGAAGACAAUCAAAAGAAGAGAAAAAGAGCCCCCGCCCUUUUUUAAUAAGUAAAAAUAACGGCAUGGAAUGAGAAUCGAAGGGUCUGGUGGUCCCCACCGGCAGUUGUACACGCACAUUCGGCCGUGGAAUGAGGUGAUCUCAUCAGGCUGACCACAUGUCCAUCUUCCAAGUGGGGGCCACCUUAUGAACCGCUCAGAUUUGUCCCACGCAAUUGCAAGAAUGUUUCCACGUGAUGCGUGUAAAGGUCAGUGUGGGACUGGAAAAUCUACACGCACACCUCCCUUCGCAGGACAAGAUAUAAGAGAUGGUGCGCAUGGUGGGCCCUACGUAAAUGGACCAUGUUCAAGCCUCUAGUCAGUCAGAUCAUUAGGCCGGCGCCUUUCUGGACGGUCUGAAGCAAGAUUUGCCUGUUUCACAUCCAACAUGCAUGGCCCAUCUGAUGAACGGAUAAGAAUAUUUAUUGGCGUGGUUACUUUCAUGAUGAUGCGGUUAUUUU